RNAcentral lists this unclassified non-coding RNA (275 nucleotides) under Hevea brasiliensis (rubber tree). Lineage: Eukaryota; Viridiplantae; Streptophyta; Magnoliopsida; Malpighiales; Euphorbiaceae. The record is from RNAcentral.
GCUGACUCAGCCGUCUCUUCUGCACAGUAAUCAGUUAGCAAAGGUUCAGAAACUAGAUUGCUGUUGUGGGCGAGAACAUCUGGGAUUGCAUCUUGACUCGGAAGGUUUGCCACAAAAGAUAGGGAAGACGCAUCAGACGCUUGGUCAACAUGACUUUGUAUCUUCUCCAGGAGAGGUGAUUGGUCCAAAUCAACUUUGUGCAGCAAUUCCUCAUUAGCUUGAUUGUCUACUAAUUCAUCCUUUCCUUCUUCCGGAGAAAUUUGCAAAGAUGAGGC